UACGGAAGGCAGCAGUGGGGAAUAUUGCACAAUGGGCGCAAGCCUGAUGCAGCCAUGCCGCGUGUAUGAAGAAGGCCUUCGGGUUGUAAAGUACUUUCAGUCGUGAGGAAGGUGUUAAGGUUAAUAACCUUAGCAAUUGACGUUAGCGACAGAAGAAGCACCGGCUAACUCCGUGCCAGCAGCCGCGGUAAUACGGAGGGUGCGAGCGUUAAUCGGAAUUACUGGGCGUAAAGGGCACGCAGGCGGUUAAUUAAGUUGGAUGUGAAAUCCCCGGGCUUAACCUGGGAAUGGCAUUCAAGACUGGUUAGCUAGAGUCUUGUAGAGGGGGUAGAAUUCCAUGUGUAGCGGUGAAAUGCGUAGAGAUGUGGAGGAAUACCGGUGGGCGAAGGCGGGCCCCUGGGACAAAGGACUGACGCUCAUGUGCGAAAGCGUGGGGAGCAAACAGGGAU
Molecule: ribosomal RNA, 449 nt
Filed under: uncultured bacterium
Lineage: Bacteria
Description: bacterial SSU rRNA
Rfam family: Bacterial small subunit ribosomal RNA
Source: RNAcentral